GAUCUAGUAAGUUACAUCAGCAGUCGCGUCGCAUGCUAGAUAUACCUGAGUUGAAUACAGUCGAGCACAGCCGCCUCUCCUUGGUCGGCGCGACUCACAUCAUUAGCAUCUGUGGAGCGGGCCACACCUCCAUCUCUAUAGACGACGUCGGAAUGAUGAUCCAUCCGCGUGUUGCUGUAAUCUUCACCCCCCCCCCUUCGUGUGUGGGAGGACCCCACCCAGUAGUAUAUAAAAUUUGUUCUGGCGUGAGUAAUAGUAAGUAUAUUCAACAAGAAAAUAUCCCCCAACUAUUUUUCCAGCAAACCCGCGGCGUUUUAUGAGGGGGCCCCAACUUUUGGAGAUAAAUUAUUGUGAAAAUACCCCGCGUAGGGGGCCAUUUAAGGUAGGGGGGUUUUUUCCGGGGUUUUAAAAAACUCAAAAACCUUUUUCAAUGGGUGUUUUGCGCCCCCCAAAAAUUUUUUGGGAAUUUUUGUUGUGUGAGGGGUAAACUUCCGGGAGAUAUUUGCAAAAAACCCAUGGGCGGCAAGCGGACCCGAGGUGCCCUCAGGGAUAAAUUGUCCAAAAACCCUGAGUUUAUUGGCUUUUUGACACUCAGAACGAACGCUGGCGGCAGGCUUAACACAUGCAAGUCGAGCGCCCCGCAAGGGGAGCGGCAGACGGGUGAGUAACGCGUGGGAAUCUACCCUUUUCUACGGAAUAACGCAGGGAAACUUGUGCUAAUACCGUAUAAGCCCUUUGGGGGAAAGAUUUAUCGGGAAAGGAUGAGCCCGCGUUGGAUUAGCUAGUUGGUGGGGUAAAGGCCUACCAAGGCGACGAUCCAUAGCUGGUCUGAGAGGAUGAUCAGCCACAUUGGGACUGAGACACGGCCCAAACUCCUACGGGAGGCAGCAGUGGGGAAUAUUGGACAAUGGGCGCAAGCCUGAUCCAGCCAUGCCGCGUGAGUGAUGAAGGCCCUAGGGUUGUAAAGCUCUUUCACCGGUGAAGAUAAUGACGGUAACCGGAGAAGAAGCCCCGGCUAACUUCGUGCCAGCAGCCGCGGUAAUACGAAGGGGGCUAGCGUUGUUCGGAAUUACUGGGCGUAAAGCGCACGUAGGCGGACAUUUAAGUCAGGGGUGAAAUCCCGGGGCUCAACCCCGGAACUGCCUUUGAUACUGGGUGUCUAGAGUAUGGAAGAGGUGAGUGGAAUUCCGAGUGUAGAGGUGAAAUUCGUAGAUAUUCGGAGGAACACCAGUGGCGAAGGCGGCUCACUGGUCCAUACUGACGCUGAGUGCGACGAGCGUAC
RNAcentral lists this ribosomal RNA (1282 nucleotides) under Sinorhizobium americanum. Its description in RNAcentral is "bacterial SSU rRNA". The stretch from base 562 to 1282 matches the Rfam family "Bacterial small subunit ribosomal RNA", at positions 1 to 764 of the family's 1533-position model. The record is from RNAcentral. Lineage: Bacteria; Pseudomonadati; Pseudomonadota; Alphaproteobacteria; Hyphomicrobiales; Rhizobiaceae.